Molecule: ribosomal RNA, 930 nt
Filed under: Alteromonas sp. 42(2010)
Lineage: Bacteria; Pseudomonadati; Pseudomonadota; Gammaproteobacteria; Alteromonadales; Alteromonadaceae
Description: bacterial SSU rRNA
Rfam family: Bacterial small subunit ribosomal RNA
Source: RNAcentral
GCAGUCGAACGGUAACAUUUCUAGCUUGCUAGAAGAUGACGAGUGGCGGACGGGUGAGUAAUGCUUGGGAACUUGCCUUUGCGAGGGGGAUAACAGUUGGAAACGACUGCUAAUACCGCAUAAUGUCUUCGGACCAAACGGGGCUUCGGCUCCGGCGCAAAGAGAGGCCCAAGUGAGAUUAGCUAGUUGGUAAGGUAACGGCUUACCAAGGCGACGAUCUCUAGCUGUUCUGAGAGGAAGAUCAGCCACACUGGGACUGAGACACGGCCCAGACUCCUACGGGAGGCAGCAGUGGGGAAUAUUGCACAAUGGGGGAAACCCUGAUGCAGCCAUGCCGCGUGUGUGAAGAAGGCCUUCGGGUUGUAAAGCACUUUCAGUUGUGAGGAAAAGUUAGUAGUUAAUACCUGCUAACCGUGACGUUAACAACAGAAGAAGCACCGGCUAACUCCGUGCCAGCAGCCGCGGUAAUACGGAGGGUGCGAGCGUUAAUCGGAAUUACUGGGCGUAAAGCGCACGCAGGCGGUUUGUUAAGCUAGAUGUGAAAGCCCCGGGCUCAACCUGGGAUGGUCAUUUAGAACUGGCAGACUAGAGUCUUGGAGAGGGGAGUGGAAUUCCAGGUGUAGCGGUGAAAUGCGUAGAUAUCUGGAGGAACAUCAGUGGCGAAGGCGACUCCCUGGCCAAAGACUGACGCUCAUGUGCGAAAGUGUGGGUAGCGAACAGGAUUAGAUACCCUGGUAGUCCACACCGUAAACGCUGUCUACUAGCUGUGUGUGUCUUUAAGACGUGCGUAGCGAAGCUAACGCGCUAAGUAGACCGCCUGGGGAGUACGGCCGCAAGGUUAAAACUCAAAUGAAUUGACGGGGGCCCGCACAAGCGGUGGAGCAUGUGGUUUAAUUCGAUGCAACGCGAAGAACCUUACCUACACUUGAC